AGUGAACGCUGGCGGUAGGCCUAACACAUGCAAGUCGAACGGCAGCACAGUAAGAGCUUGCUCUUACGGGCGGCGAGUGGCGGACGGGUGAGGAAUACAUCGGAAUCUACUUUUUCGUGGGGGAUAACGUAGGGAAACUUACGCUAAUACCGCAUACGACCUACGGGUGAAAGCAGGGGAUCUUCGGACCUUGCGCGAUUGAAUGAGCCGAUGUCGGAUUAGCUAGUUGGCGGGGUAAAGGCCCACCAAGGCGACGAUCCUUAGCUGGUCUGAGUGGAUGAUCAGCCACACUGUAACUGAGACACGUUCCAGACUCCUACGGCAGGCAGCAGUGGGGAAUAUUGUACAACGGGCGCAAGCCUUAUCCAUCCUUACCGCGUGGGUGAAGAAGGCCUUCGGGUUCUAAAGCCCUUUUGUUGGGAAAGAAAAGCAGCAGGUUAAUACCCCGCUGUUCUGACGGUACCUAAAGAAUAAGCACCGGCUAACUUCGUG
Molecule: ribosomal RNA, 492 nt
Filed under: uncultured bacterium
Lineage: Bacteria
Description: partial 16S ribosomal RNA
Rfam family: Bacterial small subunit ribosomal RNA
Source: RNAcentral